GGUAAUACCGAAUCGAUUGGAUUGCUGUGCAACUUCAGGAAAGGGGAUACGGCNCCGCCUUAAGAUGGGCCCGCGUCCCAUCAGCUAGUUGGUGAGGUAAAGGCCCACCAAGGCGAAGAUGGGUAGCCGGCCUGAGAGGGUGAACGGCCACACUGGGACUGAGAUACGGCCCAGACUCCUACGGGAGGCAGCAGCUAAGAAUAUUCCGCAAUGGACGAAAGUCUGACGGAGCGACGCCGCGUGGAUGAGGAAGGCCGAAAGGUUGUAAAAUCCUUUUGCGAAUGAAGAAUAAGUGCGGUAGGGAAUGAUCGCAUGAUGACGUUAGUUCGCGAAUAAGCCCCGGCUAAUUACGUGCCAGCAGCCGCGGUAACACGUAAGGGGCAAGCGUUGUUCGGAAUUAUUGGGCGUAAAGGGCGCGUAGGCGGCCAUGUAAGUCCGGUGUGAAAUACCCAGGCUCAACCUGGGAACUGCAUUGGAAACUGCAAGGCUUGAGUCACGGAGGGGGAAUCGGAAUUCCUGGUGUAGGGGUGAAAUCUGUAGAUAU
RNAcentral lists this ribosomal RNA (544 nucleotides) under uncultured bacterium. RNAcentral's name for it is "bacterial SSU rRNA". It matches the Rfam family "Bacterial small subunit ribosomal RNA", at positions 162 to 697 of the family's 1533-position model. The record is from RNAcentral.